This 641-nucleotide ribosomal RNA is filed under the name uncultured bacterium. Its description in RNAcentral is "bacterial SSU rRNA". It matches the Rfam family "Bacterial small subunit ribosomal RNA", at positions 188 to 851 of the family's 1533-position model. The record is from RNAcentral.
CAUGUUUUUCUUAUCAAAGCUCCGGCGGUACAGGAUGGACCCGCGUCUGAUUAGCUAGUUGGUGAGGUAACGGCUCACCAAGGCGACGAUCAGUAGCCGACCUGAGAGGGUGAUCGGCCACAUUGGAACUGAGACACGGUCCAAACUCCUACGGGAGGCAGCAGUGGGGAAUAUUGCACAAUGGGCGAAAGCCUGAUGCAGCAACGCCGCGUGAGCGAUGAAGGCCUUCGGGUCGUAAAGCUCUGUCCUCAAGGAAGAUAAUGACGGUACUUGAGGAGGAAGCCCCGGCUAACUACGUGCCAGCAGCCGCGGUAAUACGUAGGGGGCUAGCGUUAUCCGGAUUUACUGGGCGUAAAGGGUGCGUAGGCGGUCUUUUAAGUCAGGAGUGAAAGGCUACGGCUCAACCGUAGUAAGCUCUUGAAACUGGAGGACUUGAGUGCAGGAGAGGAGAGUGGAAUUCCUAGUGUAGCGGUGAAAUGCGUAGAUAUUAGGAGGAACACCAGUAGCGAAGGCGGCUCUCUGGACUGUAACUGACGCUGAGGCACGAAAGCGUGGGGAGCAAACAGGAUUAGAUACCCUGGUAGUCCACGCCGUAAACGAUGAGUACUAGCUGUCGGAGGUUACCCCCUUCGGUGGCGCAG